This 493-nucleotide ribosomal RNA is filed under the name uncultured bacterium. RNAcentral describes it as "bacterial SSU rRNA". It matches the Rfam family "Bacterial small subunit ribosomal RNA", at positions 29 to 526 of the family's 1533-position model. The record is from RNAcentral.
AGUGAACGCUAGUGGCGUGCUUAACACAUGCAAGUCGAACGGACGAUAUUUGUGCUUGCACAAAUAAAGUUAGUGGCAAACGGGUGAGUAAUACAUGAGAAUUUUCCUUGCAGUACGGAAUAACUAUUGGAAACAGUAGCUAAUACCGUAUAUUGCCGAGAGGUGAAAGAUUUAUCGCUGCAAGAUAAGCCCAUGCAAGAUUAGCUUGUUGGUAAGGUAAUGGCUUACCAAGGCUACGAUCUUUAGCUGGUUUGAGAGGAUGAUCAGCCACACUGGAACUUAGACACGGUCCAGACUCCUACGGGAGGCAGCAGUGGGGAAUAUUGGACAAUGGGGGCAACCCUGAUCCAGCCAUGCCGCGUGUGUGAAGAAGGCCUUUUGGUUGUAAAGCACUUUAAGCAGUGAAGAAGACCUAACGGUUAAUACCCGUUAGCGAUGACAUUAGCUGCAGAAUAAGCACCGGCUAACUCUGUGCCAGCCGCCGCCGUAAUAC